GACGAACGCUGGCGGCGUGCCUAAUACAUGCAAGUCGAGCGAAGUUUUUCUGGUGCUUGCACCGGAAAAACUUAGCGGCGAACGGGUGAGUAACACGUAAAGAACCUGCCUCAUAGACUGGGACAACUAUUGGAAACGAUAGCUAAUACCGGAUAAUAGCAUUAACUGCAUGGUUGAUGUUUAAAAGUCGGUUUUGCUAACACUAUGAGAUGGCUUUGCGGUGCAUUAGCUAGUUGGUGGGGUAAAGGCCUACCAAGGCGACGAUGCAUAGCCGACCUGAGAGGGUGAUCGGCCACACUGGGACUGAGACACGGCCCAGACUCCUACGGGAGGCAGCAGUAGGGAAUCUUCCGCAAUGGGCGAAAGCCUGACGGAGCAACGCCGCGUGAGUGAAGAAGGAUUUCGGUUCGUAAAGCUCUGUUGUUAGGGAAGAAUGAUUGUGUAGUAACUAUACACAGUAGAGACGGUACCUAACCAGAAAGCCACGGCUAACUACGUG
RNAcentral lists this ribosomal RNA (499 nucleotides) under uncultured bacterium. Its description in RNAcentral is "partial 16S ribosomal RNA". It matches the Rfam family "Bacterial small subunit ribosomal RNA", at positions 28 to 507 of the family's 1533-position model. The record is from RNAcentral.